UACGAAGGUGGCAAGCGUUGUUCGGAUUUACUGGGCGUACAGGGAGCGUAGGCGGUUGGAUAAGCCCCUCCGUGAAAUCUCCAGGCUUAACCUGGAAAGUGCAGAGGGGACUGUUCAGCUAGAGGAUGGGAGAGGAGCGCGGAAUUCCCGGUGUAGCGGUGAAAUGCGUAGAUAUCGGAAGGAACACCAGUGGCGAAAGCGGCUUCCUGGUCCAGCACCGACGUUCAGGCACGAAAGCGUGGGGAGCAAACAGG
This 254-nucleotide ribosomal RNA is filed under the name uncultured bacterium. RNAcentral describes it as "partial 16S ribosomal RNA". It matches the Rfam family "Bacterial small subunit ribosomal RNA", at positions 524 to 776 of the family's 1533-position model. The record is from RNAcentral.